RNAcentral lists this ribosomal RNA (310 nucleotides) under Partula taeniata. RNAcentral's name for it is "partial 16S ribosomal RNA". Lineage: Eukaryota; Metazoa; Mollusca; Gastropoda; Stylommatophora; Partulidae. The record is from RNAcentral.
GGGGAAUAACUGUUUCAAUGAAACUAAAAAGAAAUUCCUUAAUAGGUGAAAAUUCCUUUGGUUAUAUAUAAUAGACGAGAAGACCCUAAGAAUUAUACAUUAAAAUUGUAAAUUUAUAAUAAAUUUUUGUUGGGGCAACAGAUUUGGUAAAAUCAAUAAUUUAAAGAUUUGCACAUUAAGUAUAUUUAAUAAGAAUUUAAUUACCUUAGGGAUAACAGCAUUAUUAAUGUAUUAGAUUGUGACCUCGAUGUUGGACUAGGGACUUUUAAAGUAAGCCACUUUAAAAGAUUGUUCUGUUCGAACAUAGAAC